This is a long non-coding RNA of Neomonachus schauinslandi (Hawaiian monk seal), 240 nucleotides long. RefSeq lists it as uncharacterized. Lineage: Eukaryota; Metazoa; Chordata; Mammalia; Carnivora; Phocidae. The record is from RefSeq and is a predicted model, not a curated record. The transcript has 3 exons.
CGCCCCCGAGCCUAACCGGCCGCGCGCCCCCAGCCCGAGCUGGGGCCAGCCCCGCGAGACGCGCAAGCAGAAGGACCACAGCCAUCGCCCGUCUCCCAUCUCCAAGAUGGCGGAGGCAGCUUCAACCUCACCUCUCGCGAGGAGUUUGUCUCACUGUCUCUGAUUAGCCCUGAGGUCAGAGGUAUCACAAGGCUCCGUGAGAGCUCAGGCACCAGAAUUUUAGCAAUGAAAGAAGACAUA